Molecule: long non-coding RNA, 749 nt
Filed under: Rattus norvegicus (Norway rat)
Lineage: Eukaryota; Metazoa; Chordata; Mammalia; Rodentia; Muridae
Description: long non-coding RNA NONRATT022556
Source: RNAcentral
GAUCAGAGGGUUCACUCAGUGGCAAGGCAGUGCCCAGAGCUACCUGUGUCUUGCUCAGUUCCUCAGAAUUGUGGAACACUCUAUACCAGACUUCCACACUGGCUCAUGUUUCUGAAAAAUGGUCCCCGGAGGCCCGAAGCCUCUGCCACAUGGGGUGUGGGAUGUUCCUGGGCCUGGCACAGACAACAGUUCUGGCCACAGGCCCAGCAUUGAAACAGGAGGAGCGGAAGUCUCCUUUCAAGGCUGAGAGGCCAGAGAGGGCUGGAACCACUGCCCAGCACCGUGCCUUCUGGGGGUGUGGCAUUGGCCCAGAACCAGGACUCUCUCCUGAGGGUUGGGAGGCUGCACUCUAGUACCUGGGGUUACCCACCAAGGGCCUUGGCCUGGGUCCUGUGGAUUCUCUAGGCAGAGAGAUUGAAUGAAGCAGGCAGUGACGGGAAAGCUGGUCUUGGAGGUACCUUAAGGUAAGGAAUUCAGGCUGUGCAGACAUACUUCUCUUUGGGGCUUCAUGGGCCUAUGAAAGCUCUUCUUGACAAACCCCAUCCUUCCAUAACUCCAGUGAAGGAAUUCAUCCUCACAUACAUCGGGCUUUGUUCAGCCAGGUAUGGUGGCACUCAUAUUUAAUGACAGCACUGAGGAGGCAAAGGCAAGCCAAUAUUUGAAUUUGAGGCCAGCCUGGUCUACAUAGGAACUUUUAGAUUAGCUGGAGUGACACAAGUGAGACCCUGUCUCAAAAAAAAAAAAAAAAA